AUUGAACGCUGGCGGCAGGCUUAACACAUGCAAGUCGAGCGGGGGAAGGUAGCUUGCUACCGGACCUAGCGGCGGACGGGUGAGUAAUGCUUAGGAAUCUGCCUAUUAGUGGGGGACAACAUCUCGAAAGGGAUGCUAAUACCGCAUACGUCCUACGGGAGAAAGCAGGGGAUCUUCGGACCUUGCGCUAAUAGAUGAGCCUAAGUCGGAUUAGCUAGUUGGUGGGGUAAAGGCCUACCAAGGCGACGAUCUGUAGCGGGUCUGAGAGGAUGAUCCGCCACACUGGGACGGAGACACGGCCCAGACUUCUACGGGAGGCAGCAGUGGGGAAUAUUGGACAAUGGGGGGAACCCUGAUCCAGCCAUGCCGCGUGUGUGAAGAAGGCCUUAUGGUUGUAAAGCACUUUAAGCGAGGAGGAGGCUACUUUAGUUAAUACCUAGAGAUAGUGGACGUUACUCGCAGAAUAAGCACCGGCUAACUCUGUGCCAGCAGCCGCAGUAA
Molecule: ribosomal RNA, 501 nt
Filed under: uncultured bacterium
Lineage: Bacteria
Description: partial 16S ribosomal RNA
Rfam family: Bacterial small subunit ribosomal RNA
Source: RNAcentral